Molecule: ribosomal RNA, 879 nt
Filed under: uncultured marine group I thaumarchaeote
Lineage: Archaea; Thermoproteati; Nitrososphaerota
Description: SSU rRNA
Rfam family: Archaeal small subunit ribosomal RNA
Source: RNAcentral
CCCGCCGGACCUGACUGCUAUCGGAUUGAUACUAAGCCAUGCGAGUCUUUGUAGUAAUACAAGGCAGACGGCUCAGUAACACGUAGUCAACCUACCCUAUGGACAAGAAUAAUCUCGGGAAACUGGGCAUAAUUCUUGAUAGAUCAUAAUGCCUGGAAUGGUUUAUGGUUAAAAUGAUUCGUCGCCAUAGGAUGGGACUGCGGCCUAUCAGCUUGUUGGUGAGGUAAUGGCCCACCAAGGCGAUUACAGGUACGGGCUCUGAGAGGAGAAGCCCGGAGAUGGGUACUGAGACACGGACCCAGGCCCUAUGGGGCGCAGCAGGCGAGAAAACUUUGCAAUGUGCGAAAGCACGACAAGGUUAAUCCGAGUGGUUUCUGCUAAAGGAACCUUUUGUUAGUCCUAAAAACACUAACGAAUAAGGGGUGGGCAAGUUCUGGUGUCAGCCGCCGCGGUAAAACCAGCACCUCAAGUGGUCAGGAUGAUUAUUGGGCCUAAAGCAUCCGUAGCCGGCUUUGUAAGUUUUCGGUUAAAUCCAUGUGCUCAACGCAUGGGCUGCCGAAAAUACUGCAUGGCUAGGGAGUGGGAGAGGUAGACGGUACUCAGUAGGUAGGGGUAAAAUCCUUCGAUCUAUUGAUGACCACCUGUGGCGAAGGCGGUCUACCAGAACACGUUCGACGGUGAGGGAUGAAAGCUGGGGGAGCAAACCGGAUUAGAUACCCGGGUAGUCCCAGCUGUAAACGAUGCAGACUCGAUGAUGCAUUGGCAUAAUAGCCAGUGCAGUGUCGCAGGGAAGCCGUUAAGUCUGCCGCCUGGGAAGUACGUACGCAAGUAUGAAACUUAAAGGAUUGGCGGGGAGCACACAAGGGUGAAGCCUGCGGU